This is a long non-coding RNA of Lutra lutra (Eurasian river otter), 316 nucleotides long. RefSeq lists it as uncharacterized. The transcript has 3 exons. The record is from RefSeq and is a predicted model, not a curated record. NCBI's taxonomy places the organism in Eukaryota, Metazoa, Chordata, Mammalia, Carnivora, Mustelidae.
GCCUGGAGGGCUUGAGUUUCGAGCCCGGCCGGACCAGCCGGUUUGGGGUGGAAAUUUGCAGCCAAGGGAUGAGCGCUAGACAAACCCGCUAACGGUGACAGCUUGGCUGCAGGCUUCCCGGUGGAGAUAGUCGGAAGCGUCGGGACCGCUAGCCCUGGUGGCUUCGUGUACGCCCCUGAGUCGGUGCCCGGAGACGCAGUGAGAGCGCGGAGCAGAACCCGCUCGGCCGAGAUGCGGCCGUGGAGACGCGAGCCUGAGAGAUCACAAGCAGGCAGAGAGAGAGGAGGAAGCAGGCUCCCUGCUGAGCAGAAAGCCC